Molecule: ribosomal RNA, 497 nt
Filed under: uncultured bacterium
Lineage: Bacteria
Description: partial 16S ribosomal RNA
Rfam family: Bacterial small subunit ribosomal RNA
Source: RNAcentral
GAUGAACGCUGGCGGCGUGCCUAAUACAUGCAAGUCGAGCGAACAGACGAGGAGCUUGCUCCUCUGACGUUAGCGGCGGACGGGUGAGUAACACGUGGAUAACCUACCUAUAAGACUGGGAUAACUUCGGGAAACCGGAGCUAAUACCGGAUAAUAUAUUGAACCGCAUGGUUCAAUAGUGAAAGACGGUUUUGCUGUCACUUAUAGAUGGAUCCGCGCCGCAUUAGCUAGUUGGUAAGGUAACGGCUUACCAAGGCAACGAUGCGUAGCCGACCUGAGAGGGAGACCGGACAACGUGGGAUAGAGACACGGGACAGAGAAGUACGGGCGGCAGCAGUAGGGAGUAGUCCGAAAUGUGAGCAAGCCUGAAGGAGCAAUAACGAGUGAAGAAUGAAGGUCUUAGGAUCUUAGAACUCUGUGAUUAGGCAAGAACAAAAGGGUACGUAACUAUGCACGUCUGCACGGGACAUAAUCAGAAAGCAACGACUAAUCAGGUG